RNAcentral lists this ribosomal RNA (107 nucleotides) under Otolemur garnettii (small-eared galago). The record is from RNAcentral. Lineage: Eukaryota; Metazoa; Chordata; Mammalia; Primates; Galagidae.
AUCUACGGCCAUACCAACCUGAAAUCACCUGAUCUCAUCUGAUCGUGGAAGCUAAGAAGGGUCAGGUCUGGUUAGUACUUGGAUGGGAGAAUAUGUCAUUCUAUUUC